CCCGUACCGCAAACCGACACAGGUAGUCAAGAUGAGAAUUCUAAGGUGAGCGAGCGAACUCUCGUUAAGGAACUCGGCAAAAUGACCCCGUAACUUCGGGAGAAGGGGUGCUCUUUAGGGUUAACGCCCAGAAGAGCCGCAGUGAAUAGGCCCAAGCGACUGUUUAUCAAAAACACAGGUCUCUGCUAAACCGUAAGGUGAUGUAUAGGGGCUGACGCCUGCCCGGUGCUGGAAGGUUAAGAGGAGUGGUUAGCUUCUGCGAAGCUACGAAUCGAAGCCCCAGUAAACGGCGGCCGUAACUAUAACGGUCCUAAGGUAGCGAAAUUCCUUGUCGGGUAAGUUCCGACCCGCACGAAAGGCGUAACGAUUUGGGCACUGUCUCAACGAGAGACUCGGUGAAAUCAUAGUACCUGUGAAGAUGCAGGUUACCCGCGACAGGACGGAAAGACCCCGUGGAGCUUUACUGUAGCCUGAUAUUGAAAUUCGGCACAGCUUGUACAGGAUAGGUAGGAGCCUUUGAAACGUGAGCGCUAGCUUACGUGGAGGCGCUGGUGGGAUACUACCCUAGCUGUGUUGGCUUUCUAACCCGCACCACUUAUCGUGGUGGGAGACAGUGUCAGGCGGGCAGUUUGACUGGGGCGGUCGCCUCCUAAAAGGUAACGGAGGCGCUCAAAGGUUCCCUCAGAAUGGUUGGAAAUCAUUCAUAGAGUGUAAAGGCAUAAGGGAGCUUGACUGCGAGACCUACAAGUCGAG
This 753-nucleotide ribosomal RNA is filed under the name Staphylococcus aureus. RNAcentral describes it as "partial 23S ribosomal RNA". It matches the Rfam family "Bacterial large subunit ribosomal RNA", at positions 1641 to 2393 of the family's 2925-position model. The record is from RNAcentral. Lineage: Bacteria; Bacillati; Bacillota; Bacilli; Caryophanales; Staphylococcaceae.